AAAAAAAAAAAAAAAAAGAAACUGUUUCUUGAUAGAAUAUCAAUUGAAUCUGUUGAAUAAUCUUCUAGUGCUUUCUUUAUGAAACUGUUUUAGAAAUUUUGGGUCCAUUUCCUCCCUUGGACAUAUGUUAAUUAUUUUUGAAGUUAUAGUUGUAUCUUUAACAUUUAAAUUCUUGAUUUUGACAAGUUUUCAUCCUUUGUUAUCAAGUUGGAUGUUCAAAUACAAGUUGUUAUUGAGAAUGAGUGCAUGUUUGGGGUUAUGUGAAUUUAUGCAUAUGAUCUUGUUUUGGAAUUAUUACCAAUAUGCUUCUUUGAUCACUGUUCUAUUUAAUCUGGCACCGAGUAUGGUAAACACAGAUGUAGUGACCAUAUGUAUACCUUUCAACCCACCAUUGAAAACAUGUGCUCACACCCUCACGGCCACAUAUAGGGGGUGAAGGAGGUGUGGAUGCAUUUGACACUGAAGUUAAAUGCAACA
This 477-nucleotide unclassified non-coding RNA is filed under the name Hevea brasiliensis (rubber tree). The record is from RNAcentral. Lineage: Eukaryota; Viridiplantae; Streptophyta; Magnoliopsida; Malpighiales; Euphorbiaceae.